UACGAGGGGGGCAAGCGUUGUCCGGAGUUAUUGGGCGUAAAGCGCGCGCAGGCGGUGCGGUAAGUCUCUGGUGAAAGCGCUCGGCUUAACUGGGCGAGGGCCGGGGAGACUGCCACGCUGGAGGGGAGCAGAGGCGAGUGGAAUUCCGGGUGUAGUGGUGAAAUGCGUAGAGAUCCGGAGGAACACCAGUGGCGAAGGCGGCUCGCUGGGCUCUACCUGACGCUGAGGCGCGAAAGCGUGGGGAGCGAACCGG
RNAcentral lists this ribosomal RNA (253 nucleotides) under uncultured bacterium. RNAcentral's name for it is "partial 16S ribosomal RNA". It matches the Rfam family "Bacterial small subunit ribosomal RNA", at positions 524 to 776 of the family's 1533-position model. The record is from RNAcentral.